Molecule: ribosomal RNA, 497 nt
Filed under: uncultured bacterium
Lineage: Bacteria
Description: partial 16S ribosomal RNA
Rfam family: Bacterial small subunit ribosomal RNA
Source: RNAcentral
GAUGAACGCUGGCGGCGUGCCUAAUACAUGCAAGUCGAGCGAACGGACGAGAAGCUUGCUUCUCUGAUGUUAGCGGCGGACGGGUGAGUAACUCGUGGAUAACCUACCUAUAAGACUGGGAUAACUUCGGGAAACCGGAGCUAAUACCGGAUGAUAUUUUGAACCGCAUGGUUCAAAAGUGAAAGACGGUCUUGCUGUCACUUAUAGAUGGAUCCGCGCUGCAUUAGCUAGUUGGUAAGGUAACGGCUUACCAAGGCAACGAUGCAUAGCCGACCUGAGAGGGUGAUCGGCCACACUGGAACUGAGACACGGUCCAGACUCCUACGGGAGGCAGCAGUAGGGAAUCGUCCACAAUGGGCGAAAGCCUGACGGAGCAACGCCGCGUGAGUGAUGAAGGUCUUCGGAUCGUAAAACUCUGUUAUUAGGGAAGAACAUAUGUGUAAGUAACUGUGCACAUCUUGACGGUACCUAAUCAGAAAGCCACGGCUAACUACGUG